This 1343-nucleotide ribosomal RNA is filed under the name uncultured bacterium. RNAcentral describes it as "16S ribosomal RNA". It matches the Rfam family "Bacterial small subunit ribosomal RNA", at positions 28 to 1378 of the family's 1533-position model. The record is from RNAcentral.
GACGAACGCUGGCGGCGUGCUUAACACAUGCAAGUCGAACGGAAAGGCCCUGCUUUUGUGGGGUGCUCGAGUGGCCAACGGGUGAGUAACACGUGAGUAACCUGCCCUUGACUUUGGGAUAACUUCAGGAAACUGGGGCUAAUACCGGAUAGGAGCUCCUGCUGCAUGGUGGGGGUUGGAAAGUUUCUGCGGUUGGGGAUGGACUCGCGGCUUAUCAGCUUGUUGGUGGGGUAGUGGCUUACCAACGCUUUGACGGGUAGCCGGCCUGAGAGGGUGACCGGCCACAUUGGGACUGAGAUACGGCCCAGACUCCUACGGGAGGCAGCAGUGGGGAAUAUUGCACAAUGGGCGGAAGCCUGAUGCAUCAACGCCGCGCGCGGGAUGACGGCCUUCGGGUUGUAAACCGCUUUCGCCUGUGACAAAGCGCGACUGACCGUACUGGUUAAACAACCCCGGCUAACUACGUGCCAUCAUCCGCUGUGACACUUCUGCGUGCGAGCGUUGCCCGGAUUUAUUGGCCGUAAAGGGCUCGUAGGUGGUUGAUCGCGUCGGAAGUGUAAUCUUGGGGCUUAACCCUGAGCGUGCUUUCGAUACGGGUUGACUUGAGGAAGGUAGGGGAGAAUGGAAUUCCUGGUGGAGCGGUGGAAUGCGCAGAUAUCAGGAGGAACACCAGUGGCGAAGGCGGUUCUCUGGGCCUUUCCUGACGCUGAGGAGCGAAAGCGUGGGGAGCGAACAGGCUUAGAUACCCUGGUAGUCCACGCUGUAAACGGUGGGUACUAGGUGUGGGGUCCAUUCCACGGGUUCCGUGCCGUAGCUAACGCUUUAAGUACCCCGCCUGGGGAGUACGGCCGCAAGGCUAAAACUCAAAGGAAUUGACGGGGCCCCGCACAAGCGGCGGAGCAUGCGGAUUAAUUCGAUGCAACGCGUAGAACCUUACCUGGGUUUGACAUGGAUCGGGAGCGCUCAGAGAUGGGUGUGCCUCUUUUGGGGUCGGUUCACAGGUGGUGCAUGGCUGUCGUCAGCUCGUGUCGUGAGAUGUUGGGUUAAGUCCCGCAACGAGCGCAACCCUUGUUCACUGUUGCCAGCACGUUAUGGUGGGGACUCAGUGGAGACCGCCGGGGUCAACUCGGAGGAAGGUGGGGAUGACGUCAAGUCAUCAUGCCCCUUAUGUCCAGGGCUUCACGCAUGCUACAAUGGCUGGUACAGAGAGUGGCGAGCCUGUGAGGGUGAGCGAAUCUCGGAAAGCCGGUCUCAGUUCGGAUUGGGGUCUGCAACUCGACCUCAUGAAGUCGGAGUCGCUAGUAAUCGCAGAUCAGCAACGCUGCGGUGAAUACGUUCCCGGG